AUCGAACGCUGGCGGCAGGCCUAACACAUGCAAGUCGAACGAGUGGCGGACGGGUGAGUAAUGUCUGGAAAACUGCCUGAUGGAGGGGGAUAACUACUGGAAACGGUAGCUAAUACUGCAUACCAUCAGAUGUGCCCACAUUGGAUUAGCUAGUUGGUGGGGUAACGGCUCACCAAGGCGAAGAUCCCUAGCUGGUCUGAGAGGAUGACCAGCCACACUGGAACUGAGACACGGUCCAGACUCCUACGGGAGGCAGCAGUGGGGAAUAUUGCGCAAUGGGCGCAAGCCUGAGGGAGCCAUGCCGCGUGAAUGAAGAAGGCUUUCGGGUUGUAAAGUUCUUUCAGCGGGGAGGCGGUACCCGACGAGGAAGCACCGGCUAACUCCGUGCCAGCAGCCGCGGUAAUAC
Molecule: ribosomal RNA, 406 nt
Filed under: uncultured bacterium
Lineage: Bacteria
Description: partial 16S ribosomal RNA
Rfam family: Bacterial small subunit ribosomal RNA
Source: RNAcentral